This is an RNA transcript of Tribolium castaneum (red flour beetle), 2006 nucleotides long. It is a transcript of the gene named protein Malvolio, with no coding region annotated. The record is from RefSeq and is a predicted model, not a curated record. The transcript is spliced from 8 exons. Lineage: Eukaryota; Metazoa; Arthropoda; Insecta; Coleoptera; Tenebrionidae.
AUCCACAAAUCCCCGCCACACAAACAAUCUGACUCAGUCCGGCUCUGUCUGCCGUCGUGUCGAUUCGUCCGAAUUCGAACGGUUGCACUUUGAGGUUAUCGCAAUGAUGUGAACUUGAUUUUGCCACAAAUGUCGUCAAAUAACCGCCCAGAGGCCGGGGGCGAAGCCCCCAACACCACGGCCAGCGAAUCUACGCUCCUGAGCCCCUCAUCAACGUACUUCGCCGAUGAAAAAAUCCAAAUCCCGGAGACGGACACGUCACGUUUCAGUUUCCGAAAACUGUGGGCUUUCACAGGCCCUGGCUUCCUCAUGUCUAUCGCUUACCUUGACCCUGGAAACAUCGAGAGUGACCUCCAGAGUGGCACAGUGGCCCAAUAUAAACUUCUAUGGGUGUUGUUAAGUGCCACGAUGUUGGGGCUCCUGAUGCAAAGACUCUCCGCCCGCUUGGGGGUUGUCACAGGGCUACAUCUCGCCGAGAUGUGUUUCAGGCAAUAUCGGCGAAUCCCCCGUUUAAUUUUAUGGAUUAUGAUCGAGAUUGCAAUCAUUGGAUCCGACAUGCAAGAAGUAAUCGGGACAGCAAUCGCUAUUUAUUUAUUAUCGAACAAAACGAUUCCGCUCUGGGGCGGUGUUUUAAUCACGAUUGUGGACACUUUCACGUUCCUUUUCCUGGACAAGUACGGGCUGAGGAAACUGGAGAUGUUUUUCGGGCUCUUGAUUACAGUAAUGGGGCUCACGUUCGGUUUCGAGUACAUAACCUCAAAACCGGACCAAUUGCAAGUGCUAGAAGGGAUGUUCGUGCCCUGGUGUGAGGGUUGCGACUCCAGGGCGCUGCUCCAAGCUGUGGGGAUCGUAGGUGCUGUAAUUAUGCCUCACAAUUUGUAUUUGCACUCAGCGUUGGUUAAGUCGCGCGAUAUCGAUCGAACAAAACCGGAAAAGGUCCGUGACGCAAAUUUGUACUUUUUCGUCGAGGCGGCAAUUGCCCUUUUUGUCAGUUUCGUAAUAAACGUGUUCGUGGUUGCCGUUUUUGCGCAUGGACUUUUCCACAAAACGAACAAAGAAGUGCACACUUUGUGUACGAAAUAUCCGUCUGUGAACGCGUCAAUUUUUCCCAUUAAUGACGAUUACGUCGAGGCUGAUUUGUACAAAGGGGGGAUUUUUUUGGGGUGCACUUAUGGGCUCCUUGCGAUGUACAUUUGGGCGGUUGGUAUUCUGGCCGCUGGUCAAAGUUCGACCAUGACGGGGACCUAUGCUGGGCAAUUUACCAUGGAAGGGUUUUUAAACCUGCAAUGGGCGCGAUGGAAGAGAGUUUUGUUCACUCGUACCAUCGCAAUCGUGCCGACGUUUUGUCUUGCCUUCUUCAGUCACAUCGAGGAUUUGACAGGAAUGAACGACGUCCUCAACGCCAUCAUGAGCCUCCAAUUACCCUUCGCCACCAUCCCAACCAUCGCCUUCACCAGCAAUCCACAAAUCAUGGGCGAAUUCGUCAAUGGAUGGUUCAACAAAAUCGCAUCGAUCCUACUCAGCAUUUUGGUGAUCGGAAUCAACACAUAUUUUGUCGUUGAAACAAUGAACGAGCUACACCUCCACUGGUACGCUCUCGUUUUCGUCGUCAUAAUCGGAAUUUUCUACUUGAUCUUUUGCGCAUAUCUCGUAAUCCACAUGGCCAUAAGUAUGGGAAAUACAAAUCUUUUGCGCUACCAUCUAGUCAAGAAAUACAUUAUGGCCCCCAUCGAGUCACAAUUAUCCGUCAAUCCUGUCAGCUAUUCGAGAGAGCGCUUGAUUGAAACAACUUAAGGAAUUGCAGGGGAUGUGUAUCUUAAAGAAACGUGAUAAUGUACUAAUCAAUGACGUAAAAUUCUGAGUCGCAAUCAGACUGGACCUUGGACGGUAAUGCGACGGAAAUUGCGAGGUUUUGACGUCAAUUUUAGUAAAUUUGUAGUUUUUUUCAUGAUAUUUGUGUGAUAUUUGCGUUAUGUAAUGAAAUAUAUUUUAUUAGAAUUUUUCAA